RNAcentral lists this ribosomal RNA (233 nucleotides) under uncultured bacterium. RNAcentral's name for it is "partial 16S ribosomal RNA". It matches the Rfam family "Bacterial small subunit ribosomal RNA", at positions 118 to 347 of the family's 1533-position model. The record is from RNAcentral.
UGAGUAACCUGCCCUUAACUCUGGGACAAGCCUGGGAAACUGGGUCUAAUACCGGAUAUGACUCCUCAUCGCAUGGUGGGGGGUGGAAAGCUUUAUUGUGGUUUUGGAUGGACUCGCGGCCUAUCAGCUUGUUGGUGAGGUAAUGGCUCACCAAGGCGACGACGGGUAGCCGGCCUGAGAGGGUGACCGGCCACACUGGGACUGAGACACGGCCCAGACUCCUACGGGAGCAG